AUGCAUUUGAAGGUCCUUUUCGCGUUGGUGAUUUUGUUUGCCGUUAGGUUCCGGGUGGCGGCGACCUCCUCGAGCGACGAGCGGACGAGAGAGCGGCAGAACGGAUUCAAAGGGAGGAACUACCCUCUGGGGGCGCCCAAUUCCAACUCGCGGAAGCUCCAACGCGAGGAGUCGACCAGCGGAGAGAGCGAGGAGAACGAGAAAGACACCCGUGACCGGGCCCAACUCCCGGCCCCUGCUCACUCGCACAGGGGUCACCGACACCCCCUUGGGCCCGCCGGCGCUGGGGAGGUGUAGGAGGAGGCGGAGGGGGUGGCGCCCCCUUCUCCCAGUAUAGCUACGGAUACUCGAUCCCCGACCAUGAGUUCGACCACAACCAGAAUCAAGUAAGAACUCACAUUUUGUUGGAGGGAGAAGAGGAGACAUGUUUCGGAAAAGUGCCUCGGAAACAAAUGAAGUACAAAUGUGUACAAGUGUGAGUGCAAAAAAGUGCAAACUAGUACAAAGGUGUGAAUCACAGACGCGCCACCGCAAUGGAUAAUGUCUUAAGCCGUUCCUUUGAAUGAUAGGUAUUUCCACCAAUAUUGGACUUUAAAACUUGGCUUUUGAGCAGAUUCACACAUCUGUUCCUGAUCUAAGAACAGAAACCGUCAGGACACAAUUCUGUAACUAGCGCAACUGAUCCACACGGAAGAAAAUGGAUUGCUGUUUUUACCAUUUCGUAAUGAAAAAAGUGCGCGAGAUAUUUCAAUGUACAUUUUACAAUAAGCAAAAAUACUAAAUUCAACCACCCCGUGGUUAAAUUUGCUUUCAAAAAUUGUAAAAUGUACUUUUGAAACCCGUCGAACAUAUUUUUUAAUAAUUUAAUUGUUAAAUCUGCAAUCCAUUUUCUUCCGUGUGGAUCAGUUACGCUACAGUUACAGAAUUGUGUCCUGGUGGCCUCAGUUUAUAGAUCAGUAAAAUAUGAGAGGGGCUGUUCAAACGCCAAAUUUCUGCGUUCGAUAUUGUCGGAUAUAUCAAUCAUUCAAAGGCACGGCGCGAGACAUUAUCCACUACGCGUCUAUCACGUGUAUACGCAUUAUCACUACGCGGGGGCACGUCUGUGAUUGAUACACGCAUGUGUACUAGUUGCCAGACCUGAUACACAUAUGAAGCCGAAAUAGAAGAGGCGGCGGUGUGUGCUACCACGGAGGGCGAUGCCAUACGCCGAUUUUUUCGAUGAAUGAAACCUCUAUUCAUAUUAAAAGUGGAAAUUUUGUU
Molecule: long non-coding RNA, 1260 nt
Filed under: Bemisia tabaci
Lineage: Eukaryota; Metazoa; Arthropoda; Insecta; Hemiptera; Aleyrodidae
Description: lncRNA ENSSSA1UGG009208
Source: RNAcentral